CCGCUGUGUGAAGAAGCCUGAAGUUGUAAGCACUUUCAAUAGGAAGGAAUACCUAUCGGUUAAUACCCGGUAGACUGACAUUACCUAUACAAGAAGCACCGGCUAACUCCGUGCCAGCAGCCGCGGUAAUACGGAGGGUGCAAGCGUUAAUCGGAAUUACUGGGCGUAAAGCGUGCGUAGGCGGUUAUUUAAGUCAGAUGUGAAAGCCCUGGGCUUAACCUGGGAACUGCAUUUGAUACUGGAUGACUAGAGUUGAGUAGAGGAGAGUGGAAUUUCAGGUGUAGCGGUGAAAUGCGUAGAGAUCUGAAGGAACACCAGUGGCGAAGGCGGCUCUCUGGACUCAAACUGACGCUGAGGUACGAAAGCGUGGGUAGCAAACAGGAUUAGAUACCCUGGUAGUCCACGCCGUAAACGAUGUCAACUAACCGUUGGGUUCUUUAAGAACUUAGUGGUGGAGCUAACGUAUUAAGUUGACCGCCUGGGGAGUACGGCCGCAAGGCUAAAACUCAAAUGAAUUGACGGGGGCCCGCACAAGCGGUGGAGCAUGUGGUUUAAUUCGAUGCAACGCGAAGAACCUUNACCUACCUUGACAUGUAGCGAAUCCUUUAGAGAUAGAGGAGUGCCUUCGGGGAACGC
Molecule: ribosomal RNA, 636 nt
Filed under: uncultured archaeon
Lineage: Archaea
Description: bacterial SSU rRNA
Rfam family: Bacterial small subunit ribosomal RNA
Source: RNAcentral